Molecule: non-coding RNA, 151 nt
Organism: Chelonoidis abingdonii (Abingdon island giant tortoise)
Lineage: Eukaryota; Metazoa; Chordata; Testudines; Testudinidae
Source: RefSeq, a predicted model, not a curated record
CAGAUAGUUAAGGGUUAAUGCCUCUUUUACUUGUAAAGGGUUAAGAAGUUCACCUAGCCUAGCUGACACGUGACCAGAGGAACUAAUGGGGGGACAGGAUGUUUCAAAAGGAAAGAGGGAAGUUCCCUUUCCUUUAUUUUAGAAUUUUCAG